GAUGAACGCUGACAGAAUGCUUAACACAUGCAAGUCAACUUGAAUUUGGGUUUUUAACUUAGGUUUGGGUGGCGGACGGGUGAGUAACGCGUAAAGAACUUGCCUCACAGCUAGGGACAACAUUUGGAAACGAAUGCUAAUACCUAAUAUUAUGAUAAUAGGGCAUCCUAUAAUUAUGAAAGCUAUAAGCGCUGUGAGAGAGCUUUGCGUCCCAUUAGCUAGUUGGAGAGGUAACGGCUCACCAAGGCGAUGAUGGGUAGCCGGCCUGAGAGGGUGAUCGGCCACAAGGGGACUGAGACACGGCCCUUACUCCUACGGGAGGCAGCAGUGGGGAAUAUUGGACAAUGGACCGAGAGUCUGAUCCAGCAAUUCUGUGUGCACGAUGAAGUUUUUCGGAAUGUAAAGUGCUUUCAGUUGGGAAGAAAAAAAUGACGGUACCAACAGAAGAAGUGACGGCUAAAUACGUGCCAGCAGCCGCGGUAAUACGUAUGUCACGAGCGUUAUCCGGAUUUAUUGGGCGUAAAGCGCGUCUAGGUGGUUAUAUAAGUCUGAUGUGAAAAUGCAGGGCUCAACUCUGUAUUGCGUUGGAAACUGUAUAACUAGAGUACUGGAGAGGUAAGCGGAACUACAAGUGUAGAGGUGAAAUUCGUAGAUAUUUGUAGGAAUGCCGAUGGGGAAGCCAGCUUACUGGACAGAUACUGACGCUGAAGCGCGAAAGCGUGGGUAGCAAACAGG
This 735-nucleotide ribosomal RNA is filed under the name uncultured Fusobacterium sp. RNAcentral's name for it is "bacterial SSU rRNA". It matches the Rfam family "Bacterial small subunit ribosomal RNA", at positions 28 to 776 of the family's 1533-position model. The record is from RNAcentral. Lineage: Bacteria; Fusobacteriati; Fusobacteriota; Fusobacteriia; Fusobacteriales; Fusobacteriaceae.